RNAcentral lists this microRNA precursor (88 nucleotides) under Lucilia cuprina (Australian sheep blowfly). Its description in RNAcentral is "mir-263 microRNA precursor family". It matches the Rfam family "mir-263 microRNA precursor family". The record is from Rfam by way of RNAcentral. Lineage: Eukaryota; Metazoa; Arthropoda; Insecta; Diptera; Calliphoridae.
UCAGCACAGUUAAUGGCACUGGAAGAAUUCACGGGGUAUUUUUAAUAUAUAUCUUCCCGUGAUCUCUUAGUGGCAUCUAUGGUGCAGG